AUUGAACGCUGGCGGCAUGCCUUACACAUGCAAGUCGAACGGUAACAGGUCUUCGGAUGCUGACGAGUGGCGAACGGGUGAGUAAUACAUCGGAACGUGCCCGAUCGUGGGGGAUAACGAAGCGAAAGCUUUGCUAAUACCGCAUAAGAUCUACGGAUGAAAGCAGGGGACCGCAAGGCCUUGCGCGAACGGAGCGGCCGAUGGCAGAUUAGGUAGUUGGUGGGAUAAAAGCUUACCAAGCCGACGAUCUGUAGCUGGUCUGAGAGGACGACCAGCCACACUGGGACUGAGACACGGCCCAGACUCCUACGGGAGGCAGCAGUGGGGAAUUUUGGACAAUGGGCGAAAGCCUGAUCCAGCCAUGCCGCGUGCAGGAUGAAGGCCUUCGGGUUGUAAACUGCUUUUGUACGGAACGAAAAGACUCUGGUUAAUACCUGGGGUCCAUGACGGUACCGUAAGAAUAAGCACCGGCUAACUACGUGCCAGCAGCCGCGGUAAUACGUAGGGUGCAAGCGUUAAUCGGAAUUACUGGGCGUAAAGCGUGCGCAGGCGGUUAUAUAAGACAGAUGUGAAAUCCCCGGGCUCAACCUGGGAACUGCAUUUGUGACUGUAUAGCUAGAGUACGGCAGAGGGGGAUGGAAUUCCGCGUGUAGCAGUGAAAUGCGUAGAUAUGCGGAGGAACACCGAUGGCGAAGGCA
This 698-nucleotide ribosomal RNA is filed under the name uncultured beta proteobacterium. RNAcentral describes it as "bacterial SSU rRNA". It matches the Rfam family "Bacterial small subunit ribosomal RNA", at positions 28 to 723 of the family's 1533-position model. Lineage: Bacteria; Pseudomonadati; Pseudomonadota; Betaproteobacteria. The record is from RNAcentral.